GACGAACGCUGGCGGCGUGCUUAAUACAUGCAAGUGGAGCGACGAACCAGGGCUUGCCCUGGGCAGAGCCGCGAACGGGUGAGUAACACGUGGGUAACCUGCCUCGAUGACCGGGACAACCCGAGGAAACUCGGGCUAAUACCGGAUGUGCUCUCCUCACAUCAGUGGGAAGAGGAAAGGAAGCUUCGGCCUCCGCAUCGGGAUGGGCCCGCGGCCCAUUAGCUAGUUGGUGGGGCAAUGGCCUACCAAGGCUUCGAUGGGUAGCUGUUCUGAGAGGAAGAUCAGCCACACUGGGACUGAGACACGGCCCAGACUCCUACGGGAGCAGCAGUAGGGAAUCUUGCGCAAUGCGCGAAAGCGUGACGCAGCAACGCCG
RNAcentral lists this ribosomal RNA (376 nucleotides) under uncultured bacterium. Its description in RNAcentral is "bacterial SSU rRNA". It matches the Rfam family "Bacterial small subunit ribosomal RNA", at positions 28 to 399 of the family's 1533-position model. The record is from RNAcentral.